RNAcentral lists this ribosomal RNA (253 nucleotides) under uncultured bacterium. Its description in RNAcentral is "partial 16S ribosomal RNA". It matches the Rfam family "Bacterial small subunit ribosomal RNA", at positions 524 to 776 of the family's 1533-position model. The record is from RNAcentral.
UACAGAGGUCUCAAGCGUUGUUCGGAUUCACUGGGCGUAAAGGGUGCGUAGGUGGUGGGGUAAGUCGGAUGUGAAAGCUCGGAGCUCAACUCCGAAAUGGCAUUGGAAACUACCCUGCUAGAGGAUUGGAGGGGGGACUGGAAUACUUGGUGUAGCAGUGAAAUGCGUAGAUAUCAAGUGGAACACCAGUGGCGAAGGCGAGUCCCUGGACAAUACCUGACACUGAGGCACGAAAGCUAGGGGAGCAAACAGG